AGCGAACGCUGGCGGCAGGCCUAAUACAUGCAAGUCGAGCGAAUGGAUGGGAGCUUGCUCCCUGAAGUUAGCGGCGGACGGGUGAGUAACACGUGGGCAACCUGCCUAUAAGACUGGGAUAACUUCGGGAAACCGGAGCUAAUACCAGAUAAUUCAUAUCUACUCAUGUAGGUGUGCUGAAAGACGGUUUACGCUGUCACUUAUAGAUGGGCCCGCGGCGCAUUAGCUAGUUGGUGAGGUAACGGCUCACCAAGGCGACGAUGCGUAGCCGACCUGAUAGUGUGGUGGGCCACACUGGGUCAGAGGCACGGCCCAGACUCCUACGGGAGGCAGCAGUAGGGAAGCUUCCGCAAUGGACGAAAGUCUGACAGAGCAACGCCGCGUGAGUGAUGAAGGUUUUCGGAUCGUAAAACUCUGUUGUUAGGGAAGAACAAGUACUAGAGUAACUGCUAGUACCUUGACGGUACCUAACCAGAAAGCCACGGCUAACUACGUGCCAGCCGCCGCAGUAA
This 512-nucleotide ribosomal RNA is filed under the name uncultured bacterium. RNAcentral describes it as "partial 16S ribosomal RNA". It matches the Rfam family "Bacterial small subunit ribosomal RNA", at positions 29 to 523 of the family's 1533-position model. The record is from RNAcentral.